UCUGUUGGUAAAGAAUCUGCCUGCAAUGCAGGAGACCCAGGUUCGAUCCCUGG
This 53-nucleotide transfer RNA is filed under the name Bos taurus (domestic cattle). Lineage: Eukaryota; Metazoa; Chordata; Mammalia; Artiodactyla; Bovidae. The record is from Rfam by way of RNAcentral. RNAcentral also lists the same sequence under 5 other names.